RNAcentral lists this ribosomal RNA (468 nucleotides) under uncultured bacterium. RNAcentral's name for it is "partial 16S ribosomal RNA". It matches the Rfam family "Bacterial small subunit ribosomal RNA", at positions 28 to 507 of the family's 1533-position model. The record is from RNAcentral.
GACGAACGCUGGCGGCGUGCUUAACACAUGCAAGUCGAACGGAAAGGCCCUGCUCUUGUGGGGUGCUCGAGUGGCGAACGGGUGAGUAACACGUGAGUAACCUGCCCUUGACUUUGGGAUAACUCCAGGAAACUGGGGCUAAUACCGGAUAGGAGCUCCUGCUGCAUGGUGGGGGUUGGAAAGUUUCGGCGGUUGGGGAUGGACUCGCGGCUUAUCAGCUUGUUGGUGGGGUAGUGGCUUACCAAGGCUUUGACGGGUAGCCGGCCUGAGAGGGUGACCGGCCACAUUGGGACUGAGAGACGGCCCAGACUCCUACGGGAGGCAGCAGUGGGAAGUAUUGCGCAAUGGGCGGAAGCCUGAUGCGGCAACGCCGCGUGCGGGAUGACGGCCUUCGGGUUGUAAACCGCUUUCGCCUGUGACGAAGCGUGAGUGACGGUAAUGGGUAAAGAAGCACCGGCUAACUACGUG